Molecule: ribosomal RNA, 445 nt
Filed under: uncultured bacterium
Lineage: Bacteria
Description: partial 16S ribosomal RNA
Rfam family: Bacterial small subunit ribosomal RNA
Source: RNAcentral
GUGAGGAAUAUUGGUCAAUGGACGAGAGUCUGAACCAGCCAAGUAGCGUGAAGGAUGACUGCCCUAUGGGUUGUAAACUUCUUUUAUAAGGGAAUAAAGUGAGGGACGUGUCCCUUUUUGUAUGUACCUUAUGAAUAAGGAUCGGCUAACUCCGUGCCAGCAGCCGCGGUAAUACGGAGGAUCCGAGCGUUAUCCGGAUUUAUUGGGUUUAAAGGGAGCGUAGGUUGACAUAUAAGUCAGCUGUGAAAGUUUACGGCUCAACCGUGAAAUUGCAGUUGAUACUGUAUGUCUUGAGUGUACAAGAGGUGGGCGGAAUUCGUGGUGUAGCGGUGAAAUGCUUAGAUAUCACGAAGAACUCCAAUUGCGAAGGCAGCUCACUGGGGUACAACUGACACUGAGGCUCGAAAGUGUGGGUAUCAAACAGGAUUAGAAACCCCGGUAGUCC